This 490-nucleotide ribosomal RNA is filed under the name uncultured bacterium. RNAcentral describes it as "bacterial SSU rRNA". It matches the Rfam family "Bacterial small subunit ribosomal RNA", at positions 29 to 498 of the family's 1533-position model. The record is from RNAcentral.
AACGAACGCUGGCGGCGUGCCUAACACAUGCAAGUCGAGCGAGAAAGGGCUUCGGCCCCAGUACAGCGGCGCACGGGUGAGUAACACGUGGGUAAUCUACCCCUGAGUGGUGGAUAACCCUCCGAAAGGAGGGCUAAUACAGCAUAAGACCACGGCGUCCUCGGAUGUCGCGGCCAAAGCGGGCCUCUUCAUGAAAGCUCGUGCUCGGGGAUGAGCCCGCGGCCCAUCAGCUUGUUGGCGAGGUAAAAGCUCACCAAGGCAAAGACGGGUAGCUGGUCUGAGAGGAUGAACAGCCACACUGGAACUGAGACACGGUCCAGACUCCUACGGGAGGCAGCAGUGGGGAAUCUUGCGCAAUGGGCGAAAGCCUGACGCAGCGACGCCGCGUGAGCGAUGAAGGCCCUCGGGUCGUAAAGCUCUGUGGGGAGGAAAGAAUAAGGGUAGGUUAAUAUCCUGCCUGAUGACGGUACCUCCUUAGCAAGCACCGGCU